CCGUGGAUCGUAAAAAGAUAUUUUUGGAAACAAAGAAGAGCCAUCACUUCACAUCCCAUGAGAGGUCCCAAAACCCACCUUCCCUAUGGAUUUCUACUUCCCAUGAAAUAUGGGAAGUGCCUUCCCAUGGAAAGAGAUUUUUCCAUUCUCUCUCUUUUUAAAACUUCAACCAAACAAGAGAGGCUUCCUCUCUAUUUUUCAGAAAUUAUCUCUUUCCUCCUCUGCUUCUCGUGAACCAAACGAGUCUCUAAUGAUAUAAUAAAGUCUAGUCAUGGCUCUUAGCUUGCUCCAUAACUUCUUUCUUCUCUCAAUAAAUUGGUCGACCUAGCAUCCCGUUACAUCAAAAAAGAAGAAGAAGAAAAAAAACCACCCAAAGGUCUGGACAUAGAUUUAACAUCUUUGGAAUAUCAUGUUUAUCCCUUGGGAAAGAGUCAUCGUUUCUUAGUAGGAGACCGCAAGUCUACCAAAAGCAGGUUCUUUGUGGACAGAUUCCCCUUGAUGCAUUAGUUCCACCUCUAACCUUUAAAAAAAAAAAAAUUCAUACCACUAUUUUAUUAUUUAUGAUUAUAUCUAGAUCUUGUUAUAAUCUUUUUGGGCUUACAUUGUUUGAGAUUUUUUAUUUCAUAAAACGGGUUGAGCAUGUAGCCCAAUUAAUUGUCCUGUGAGCCCAAGUGAUCCAAUGUUGUGGUUGGGCUUGUAAGAUGUGGUAUAAAAAUGUAGGGCCUAUAUUGUUGGAUACCCAUUAUGGAUGGGUUCGUUAAAUUAUUAUAUAUAAGCUGGGUCCCCUCUCCUCUCAAGACACGAGACAAUUGCUUGCCCCAUCAAUAGCCGUCCAAUAUAGACGAGAAGGAAAAGAAACCCUAGAUCUAAGAUGUGUGCGCGUGUGCAUGUUGUUGUCAACUUGCAGGUAAAUCACAGUGAAAGCUAAUCAACUAUGGAUUCAAGAGGUAUGUUUAAACUCUUUAUUAUUAAUUGUCGAUGUUCUAGAUUUAGUAUGGCUUUAAUUUAAUUGCUUACAAAUGGUAUCAGAGCCAUACCAUACUGGAUCUAGAACCCUAUGUUUUGUUGUUUAAACAAUUAAUAGUUUAAGGGUUGGCAAAACAAUUUUUUCCAUGUAACUGAAUAAUUUUUGUAAGUUUCCUCGCUUAGUUUACUUUUUGAAAUUUUUUGAACCUGAGGCAUGGACCUUUUUUUUUUCUCUUUUGGUUGAUGUUUGCUUGUUUUCGUCAUUUAUGGGACCUGUUAUCGUGCAUGAAUUGCAUGUGGUAUUGCUUUUUGGGUUGAGCCACCAUGGAAGGGUUCAAAGUUUUUUGGAAGUCCCUGCGCAUGUUACUCGAUAUUAUUCCACUGCUUGAGAUACAC
RNAcentral lists this long non-coding RNA (1362 nucleotides) under Elaeis guineensis (African oil palm). RNAcentral describes it as "long non-coding RNA (EGUI_LNC023932)". Lineage: Eukaryota; Viridiplantae; Streptophyta; Magnoliopsida; Arecales; Arecaceae. The record is from RNAcentral.